UACGUAGGGUGCGAGCGUUAAUCGGAAUUACUGGGCGUAAAGUGUGCGCAGGCGGCCGAGCAAGUCGGGUGUGAAAGCCCCGAGCUUAACUUGGGAAUUGCGCUCGAAACUACUUGGCUGGAGUGUGGCAGAGGAAGGUGGAAUUCCAGGUGUAGCGGUGAAAUGCGUAGAGAUCUGGAGGAACACCGAUGGCGAAGGCAGCCCCCUGGGCUAACACUGACGCUCAUGCACGAAAGCGUGGGGAGCAAACAGG
Molecule: ribosomal RNA, 253 nt
Filed under: uncultured bacterium
Lineage: Bacteria
Description: partial 16S ribosomal RNA
Rfam family: Bacterial small subunit ribosomal RNA
Source: RNAcentral